Molecule: long non-coding RNA, 650 nt
Filed under: Rattus norvegicus (Norway rat)
Lineage: Eukaryota; Metazoa; Chordata; Mammalia; Rodentia; Muridae
Description: long non-coding RNA NONRATT008088
Source: RNAcentral
CCCCGGGAGCCCCUCCUCAAGAUUUAAUUUCCCUGAGGCCCAGGGGAAGAUGCUCGCUGGGUUUUUGGAGGAGACAUGAUGUAAAUUACGCUUCUGAGACAGCAGGGACACCACUAUCCUCUCGCGACGUCUCACUUGCUCUGCCAAUCACCUGAGUAGGAAAACAGAACCCGAAGAGAUGGCGCGGGAGUUGGGGUUGGGGUGGAGGUGUUGGGGGGAGCGUGUGGCCCACUGGAUAUCGGUUACCAGCCCUGGGUUCGAUCCCCAUCUGGUAUGCUGCGGCGCUGCAGUGGUAGGAUGGAGGCGGUGGGCUAUCCUCGGCGUCAAAGUGAAUUCAAGGCAAGCCUGGGUUAAGUGAGAAUGAAAUGAAGCGAAGAUGGGAAAAAUAACUCUGCCUUUGAUGAAAUGCACGCUCAUAUAACCCAAACCGCACCCAUGCAUGCUGCGGUUCAGACCCUCACUGAUGAGUCUGUCCGCUGUCUGGGCUCCUACUUGGAAGCCUGCUCCAGGUAAAUGGAUGCUCCAGACAUCCCCCUGCUUUCCUAACCCGUAACUGACCAGCCCGGACGCUUCCAUCCCCCUCCCUACAGGCCGCUACUCCCUCCAGCCCACCGGACCUGCUUUCUCUCAAAGCCCUAUAGUUUCCUUCU